GCAGAACUCUGGGUGUCUCACCAUGGCCUGGAUCCCUCUACUUCUCCCCCUCCUCACUCUCUGCACAGGCUCUGAGGCCUCCUAUGAGCUGACACAGCCACCCUCGGUGUCAGUGUCCCCAGGACAGACGGCCAGGAUCACCUGCUCUGGAGAUGCAUUGCCAAAGCAAUAUGCUUAUUGGUACCAGCAGAAGCCAGGCCAGGCCCCUGUGCUGGUGAUAUAUAAAGACAGUGAGAGGCCCUCAGGGAUCCCUGAGCGAUUCUCUGGCUCCAGCUCAGGGACAACAGUCACGUUGACCAUCAGUGGAGUCCAGGCAGAAGACGAGGCUGACUAUUACUGUCAAUCAGCAGACAGCAGUGGUACUUAUCCCACAGUAAAGCUGGCAGGAUUUUCAUACAUGUCAGCCCAAGGCUGCCCCCUCGGUCACUCUGUUCCCGCCCUCCUCUGAGGAGCUUCAAGCCAACAAGGCCACACUGGUGUGUCUCAUAAGUGACUUCUACCCGGGAGCCGUGACAGUGGCCUGGAAGGCAGAUAGCAGCCCCGUCAAGGCGGGAGUGGAGACCACCACACCCUCCAAACAAAGCAACAACAAGUACGCGGCCAGCAGCUAUCUGAGCCUGACGCCUGAGCAGUGGAAGUCCCACAGAAGCUACAGCUGCCAGGUCACGCAUGAAGGGAGCACCGUGGAGAAGACAGUGGCCCCUACAGAAUGUUCAUAGGUUCUCAACCCUCACCCCCCACCACGGGAGACUAGAGCUGCAGGAUCCCAGGGGAGGGGUCUCUCCUCCCACCCCAAGGCAUCAAGCCCUUCUCCCUGCACUCAAUAAACCCUCAAUAAAUAUUCUCAUUGUCAAUCAG
This 858-nucleotide long non-coding RNA is filed under the name Homo sapiens (human). RNAcentral describes it as "long non-coding RNA NONHSAT192090.1". Lineage: Eukaryota; Metazoa; Chordata; Mammalia; Primates; Hominidae. The record is from RNAcentral.